This 77-nucleotide small RNA is filed under the name uncultured Catenibacillus sp. RNAcentral's name for it is "Streptococcus sRNA SpF59 (ldcC RNA)". It matches the Rfam family "Streptococcus sRNA SpF59 (ldcC RNA)". Lineage: Bacteria; Bacillati; Bacillota; Clostridia; Lachnospirales; Lachnospiraceae. The record is from RNAcentral.
GACCACCUGGAUUCGCAAAGGCCCAGCCUGCGCGAAAUAAAGGUCGAGGCCAUACGGACAGCCGGGUCAACUGCCGA